This is a long non-coding RNA of Epinephelus moara (kelp grouper), 614 nucleotides long. RefSeq lists it as uncharacterized. The record is from RefSeq and is a predicted model, not a curated record. NCBI's taxonomy places the organism in Eukaryota, Metazoa, Chordata, Actinopteri, Perciformes, Serranidae. The transcript is spliced from 4 exons.
UCUCCCUCCCCCUCAGCUCCUCCUGCAGGGAGCUCAGCUGCUGCUUCAACGCCUGGCAGGGAGGACGAGGACAGAUUAAAGGGACGUUCCACCUAUUCCACACUUAAUAUCCACGUCUUGUGCUGCUGAACAGGUGCAGCAGAAGCCGCAGGAGGAGGAGGGAGAGGUGCAUUCUGGGUCUUUGGCUUCAGCGAGGGGAACAACCUUGUCAUGAGCUGGGAGGCAGGAGGAGGAGAAGAAGAAGAAGCAGGAGGAUCUGUGCCUUUAUCCAGCUCCACAACUUUGCUCACUGCCACCUUCCUCAACAGAGUCCGUGCCGGUGGGUUUGUAAGGAGACCCUUGUUAUAUUCUCUGACCUGCUGUUGCCGGGCAGACUUCAGCCUCUGCUCCUCCAGCCUCAGCUCCUCCUCCAACAACUCCUCAAACGUCUUCUUCUGACCCCCGAUACCCGGCUUGAUAGGUCUGAAAAUAGAAGGACACACACAGACACACAAGUUUUGACUUCUUCGUAGCCGUGCCUGUCUCCCUGCUGAUGAGAGUUCUUGCUCGUGGCGAAGGCCACUGGUGGAGCCCUGGGGGACCCCAAGGCAGUUCAAGGUGGGGCUGUACAUGGU